AUUUAUGUAGUUUAAUAAAAACAUUACAUUUUCAAUGUAAAAAUAAAAAUUUAUUUUUCAUAAAUA
RNAcentral lists this transfer RNA (66 nucleotides) under Anopheles anthropophagus. Its description in RNAcentral is "tRNA-Glu". It matches the Rfam family "tRNA". Rfam says of the family: Transfer RNA (tRNA) molecules are approximately 80 nucleotides in length. Their secondary structure includes four short double-helical elements and three loops (D, anti-codon, and T loops). The record is from RNAcentral. RNAcentral also lists the same sequence under 12 other names. Lineage: Eukaryota; Metazoa; Arthropoda; Insecta; Diptera; Culicidae.